UCACCCCUGCCUGGUUCGUGAUUGGGUAGCUGAAAUUCGAACCGAUAACGCGUCCAAGGGGGCGCUCCCUGACGGGCCAUGUGCAAGCCCUCGACCUCGGUCGAGAAGGAAGCCUGACGGUUCGCCAUAGAUGACCCCCACCUGCUUUGCGGCAGGGUUCAAUGGACGCUGCCCACACGGCCGAGGCGGGGGAUUU
This 196-nucleotide non-coding RNA is filed under the name Vulgatibacter incomptus. Its description in RNAcentral is "6S / SsrS RNA". It matches the Rfam family "6S / SsrS RNA". From Rfam's summary of the family: E. coli 6S RNA was the first non coding RNA to be sequenced, but its function was unknown until recently. It consists of 184 nucleotides that fold into an extended hairpin structure with a large single-stranded internal bulge. The 6S RNA specifically associates with RNA polymerase holoenzyme containing the sigma70 specificity factor. Lineage: Bacteria; Pseudomonadati; Myxococcota; Myxococcia; Myxococcales; Vulgatibacteraceae. The record is from Rfam by way of RNAcentral.